CAAUUUUGCCUUUUAUAUAUUCCUGUGCAGAAUUUUCAGAAAUUGAUGAGUUUGUAGAUGCG
RNAcentral lists this non-coding RNA (62 nucleotides) under Plasmodium falciparum 3D7. Lineage: Eukaryota; Apicomplexa; Aconoidasida; Haemosporida; Plasmodiidae. The record is from RNAcentral.